This 458-nucleotide ribosomal RNA is filed under the name uncultured bacterium. RNAcentral describes it as "SSU rRNA". It matches the Rfam family "Bacterial small subunit ribosomal RNA", at positions 26 to 518 of the family's 1533-position model. The record is from RNAcentral.
AGAGCGAACGCUGGCGGCAGGCCUAAUACAUGCAAGUCGAACGCACCUUCGGGUGAGUGGCGGACGGGUGAGUAACACGUGGGAACGUGCCUUUUGGUUCGGAAUAAUCCAGGGAAACCUGGCCUAAUACCGGAUGUGCCCCCUCCUUUAACCAGGGGGGUGGGAAAGAUUUAUCGCCAAUAGAGCGGCCCGCGUCUGAUUAGCUAGUUGGUGGGGUAAAGGCCCACCAAGGCGACGAUCAGUAGCUGGUCUGAGAGGAUGAUCAGCCACACUGGGACUGAGACACGGCCCAGACUCCUACGGGAGGCAGCAGUAGGGAAUCUUGCGCAAUGGGCGAAAGCCUGACGCAGCCAUGCCGCGUGAAUGAUGAAGGUCUUAGGAUUGUAAAAUUCUUUCAGCGGGAAGAUAAUGACUGUACCCGCAGAAGAAGCUCCGGCUAACUUCGCGCCAGCAGCCGC